This 73-nucleotide transfer RNA is filed under the name Micromonospora pisi. RNAcentral describes it as "Micromonospora sp. GUI15 tRNA". It matches the Rfam family "tRNA". Rfam says of the family: Transfer RNA (tRNA) molecules are approximately 80 nucleotides in length. Their secondary structure includes four short double-helical elements and three loops (D, anti-codon, and T loops). Further hydrogen bonds mediate the characteristic L-shaped molecular structure. tRNAs have two regions of fundamental functional importance: the anti-codon, which is responsible for specific mRNA codon recognition, and the 3' end, to which the tRNAs corresponding amino acid is attached (by aminoacyl-tRNA synthetases). tRNAs cope with the degeneracy of the genetic code in two manners: having more than one tRNA (with a specific anti-codon) for a particular amino acid; and 'wobble' base-pairing, i.e. permitting non-standard base-pairing at the 3rd anti-codon position. The record is from Rfam by way of RNAcentral. Lineage: Bacteria; Bacillati; Actinomycetota; Actinomycetes; Micromonosporales; Micromonosporaceae.
GGGCUUGUGGCGCAGUUGGUAGCGCGCUUCCUCGGCAGGGAAGAGGUCCCCGGUUCGAAUCCGGGCAGGUCCA